UGGGGUGUAACUCAGUUGUAGACCACAUGCCUAGCAUGCAUGAAGCCCUGGGUUCAGUCCCCAGUACCACAA
Molecule: transfer RNA, 72 nt
Filed under: Cavia porcellus (domestic guinea pig)
Lineage: Eukaryota; Metazoa; Chordata; Mammalia; Rodentia; Caviidae
Rfam family: tRNA
About the family: Transfer RNA (tRNA) molecules are approximately 80 nucleotides in length. Their secondary structure includes four short double-helical elements and three loops (D, anti-codon, and T loops). Further hydrogen bonds mediate the characteristic L-shaped molecular structure. tRNAs have two regions of fundamental functional importance: the anti-codon, which is responsible for specific mRNA codon recognition, and the 3' end, to which the tRNAs corresponding amino acid is attached (by aminoacyl-tRNA synthetases). tRNAs cope with the degeneracy of the genetic code in two manners: having more than one tRNA (with a specific anti-codon) for a particular amino acid; and 'wobble' base-pairing, i.e. permitting non-standard base-pairing at the 3rd anti-codon position.
Source: Rfam by way of RNAcentral